AACUUUCAACAACGGAUCUCUGGCUCUCGCAUCGAUGAAGAACGCAGCGAAAUGCGAUAAGUAAUGUGAAUUGCAGAAUUCAGUGAAUCAUCGAAUCUUUGAACGCACCUUGCGCUCUUUGGUAUUCCGAAGAGCAUGCCUGUUUGAGUGUCA
RNAcentral lists this ribosomal RNA (153 nucleotides) under uncultured fungus. RNAcentral's name for it is "partial 5.8S ribosomal RNA". It matches the Rfam family "5.8S ribosomal RNA". Rfam says of the family: 5.8S ribosomal RNA (5.8S rRNA) is a component of the large subunit of the eukaryotic ribosome. It is transcribed by RNA polymerase I as part of the 45S precursor that also contains 18S and 28S rRNA. Lineage: Eukaryota; Fungi. The record is from RNAcentral.